CACAAAACUCUUUUACAUUAGACUUGCACAUUUUUAUGAACAGCAGAUAUGUUAAUCCCUCUCCACUGCUUCUCUCUUUCUACCCAUCCCGAGGCAUCCAGACAUUGUACCAGCUCCGAUAGUCUUCCGUGCGACGAAAAUCUCGGACCUCCACUGAGAUGAGGCUGACUCUGUGAGAAUCCUGAGACAUCUACAGAUCUACCAGCUCCAGCUGGACUCUGUGAUACUAAGAAGAGAUCUGAACUCCAUGUGAUCCUUGCACCAAUACAGCAUUUGUCUGACUGUAUAUUUAUAAUUACACCCUCCAGUGUCACCCAUAUGAGGAUGAGGUUCCCCUUCAAGGUUUCUUCCUUAACAAUUUAAGGUUUGGUUUUUAUUUUGAUGGGGGGAUUCCGGGUCCGGAGACACGCCCACUGCUGCUGAGCUGAGCAUCGACAUGGAGCACACCUGUGCCACAUAACUAGUGCAGCAUGCUAGUGGCUUUAUAAAAAGCACAUUGGAGUGGGGCUGUUUAUUUCUCUUCCGUGUGCAUCUUGUGUGGGCAGAAAAGGUCUUUUGGCUAUAUUUUCCUGUCGCUUUCCCCUGGUGCGGCCAAAGUGCGCUAGCUGCUGUUUCUAGCUGCUGUUUCUAGCUGCUGUUUCUAGCUGCUGUUUCUAGCUGCUGUUUCUAGCUGCUGUUUCUAGCUGCUGUUUCUAGCUGCUGUUUCUAAUGGCUGUUUCUAAUGGCUGUUUCUAAUGGCUGUUUCUAAUGGCUGUUUCUAGCUGCUGUUUCUAGCUGCCGUUUUAUUACGGCUAUUUUCUUAGUUGCUGUUCUGAUUAUUGCUGUUUGUUUUAUGUAUAUUUUUCAGAGCUGUUUUAAACUUGACUCAUUAUUGGGUUACAGUCGGCAUAGUGCGGACGUUGCAGCGGUGAACACUAUAUCUUGAAUACUGGGAUGAUGCGUCAGUACUGCAUUGCCGUAUAUUUAUUCUGAGUAUAAGUUUAUCGAAUUAACCGGUUUUGUAUUUCUUUCUUUCCAACCGUUUUGGUGCUCUUUAAAUUAAUCUGUUUUUACCGGUUAUCACUGGACUGUCAUUUUGUAUUGUUUUUCUUUCUUUUCUUUUGCGUCUUUUGUUUGAGUGUCUGUUUACCGCAUAUAUAUCCACCUCUGACUAUCGGACAACGAACUGUGAUUAGUGAGGCUUAACAGAGGGAGUGUAUGUUUGUCGUCCUUUUGGUUUAUCCCUUUUUUUCUUGGUUUAUCAGUAUUAAUUAUUAUGCACUGCUUUGU
This is a long non-coding RNA of Tachysurus fulvidraco (yellow catfish), 1269 nucleotides long. RefSeq lists it as uncharacterized. The record is from RefSeq and is a predicted model, not a curated record. The transcript is spliced from 3 exons. NCBI's taxonomy places the organism in Eukaryota, Metazoa, Chordata, Actinopteri, Siluriformes, Bagridae.